UAGGGAAUCUUCCACAAAUGGACGCAAGUCUGAUGGAGCAACGCCGCGUGAGUGAAGAAGGUCUUCGGAUCGUAAAACUCUGUUGUUAGAGAAGAACACGAGUGAGAGUAACUGUUCAUUCGAUGACGGUAUCUAACCAGCAAGUCACGGCUAACUACGUGCCAA
RNAcentral lists this ribosomal RNA (165 nucleotides) under uncultured bacterium. RNAcentral's name for it is "partial 16S rRNA". It matches the Rfam family "Bacterial small subunit ribosomal RNA", at positions 355 to 511 of the family's 1533-position model. The record is from RNAcentral.